RNAcentral lists this ribosomal RNA (438 nucleotides) under uncultured bacterium. RNAcentral's name for it is "bacterial SSU rRNA". It matches the Rfam family "Bacterial small subunit ribosomal RNA", at positions 958 to 1397 of the family's 1533-position model. The record is from RNAcentral.
AACGCGAAGAACCUUACCCAGGCUUGACAUGCAGUGGACAGUGGUGGAAACACCAUCUCUCUUCGGAGCCGCUGCACAGGUGCUGCAUGGCUGUCGUCAGCUCGUGCCGUGAGGUGUUUGGUUAAGUCCAGCAACGAGCGCAACCCUUAUCAUUAGUUGCCAACACGCGAGGUGGGAACUCUAAUGAGACUGCCCGGGUUAACCGGGAGGAAGGUGAGGAUGACGUCAAGUCCGCAUGGCCUUUAUACCUGGGGCUACACACGUUCUACAAUGGUCGGUACAGAAGGCAGCAAGACCGCAAGGUGGAGCAAAUCCCUAAAACCGAUCUCAGUUCGGAUUGUAGUCUGCAACUCGGCUACAUGAAGUUGGAAUUGCUAGUAAUGACGUGUCAGCAAUAACGUCGUGAAUACGUUCCCGGGCCUUGUACACACCGACAUA